AGCUCGGUAGCUUAGUUGGUAAAGCGCUCGCAUAUAAGAGUCCUGGGUUCGAAUCCCAGCCGAGCAC
This 67-nucleotide transfer RNA is filed under the name Aedes aegypti (yellow fever mosquito). It matches the Rfam family "tRNA". Rfam says of the family: Transfer RNA (tRNA) molecules are approximately 80 nucleotides in length. Their secondary structure includes four short double-helical elements and three loops (D, anti-codon, and T loops). The record is from Rfam by way of RNAcentral. Lineage: Eukaryota; Metazoa; Arthropoda; Insecta; Diptera; Culicidae.